AAGGUCCCAAAGUGUAAGUUAAGUGGGAAAGGAUGUGAGAUUUCUAAGACAACUAGGAUGUUGGCUUAGAAGCAGCCAUUCAUUAAAAGAGUGCGUAAUAGCUCACUAGUCGAGAGAUCUUGCGCCGAAAAUGUAACGGGGCUAAACUUACCACCGAAGCUACGGGCUUGAACUUAGUUCAAGCGGUAGGAGAGCGUCGUAACCGGGCUGAAGUCGUACCGUAAGGAGCGGUGGACUGGUUACGAGUGAGAAUGUUGGCAUCAGUAGCGAGAUGUGGGUGAGAAUCCCACAGGCCGAAAACCUAAGGUUUCCUCAGGAAGGUUCUUCCGCUGAGGGUUAGUCGGGACCUAAGCCGAGGCCGAAAGGCGUAGGUGAUGGACAACUGGUUGAUAUUCCAGUACCACUACCAUCGUUAUUAUCGAUGGCGUGACGCAGGAGGAUAGUGUGUGCUAGCUAUUGGAUGCUAGUCUAAGCGUUUAGGCAGUGAGAGUAGGCAAAUCCGCUCUCAUAAUGCUGAGACGUGAUGGGGAAGGUUCUACGGAACCGAAGUACAUGAUUCCACGCUGCCAAGAAAAGCGUCUAGAGAGAGAAGUAGUGCCCGUACCGCAAACCGACACAGGUAGGUGAGGAGAGAAUCCUAAGGCCGGCGGAAGAAUUACAGUUAAGGAACUCGGCAAAUUGACCCCGUAAGUUCGCGAGAAGGGGUGCCUACGAGAGUAGGCCGCAGAGAAUAGGCCCAAGCAACUGUUUAGCAAAAACACAGGUCUCUGCUAAAGCGUAAGCUGAUGUAUAGGGGCUGACGCCUGCCCGGUGCUGGAAGGUUAAGGGGAACACUUAGCGCAAGCGAAGGUGUGAACUUAAGCCCCAGUAAACGGCGGCCGUAACUAUAACGGUCCUAAGGUAGCGAAAUUCCUUGUCAGGUAAGUUCUGACCCGCACGAAUGGCGUAAUGACUUGGGCACUGUCUCAACUGUAAAUCCGGCGAAGUUGUAGUGCGAGUGAAGAUGCUCGCUACCCGCGAUUGGACGGAAAGACCCCGUAGAGCUUUACUGUAGCUUAGCAUUGAGUUUUGGUAUUGUCUGUACAGGAUAGGUGGGAGACUAGGAAACCAGGGCGUCAGCCUUGGUGGAGUCAACCUUGGGAUACCACCCUGACAGUACUGAAAUUCUAACUGGCGGCCAUGAAUCUGGUCACAGGACAUUGUUAGGUGGGCAGUUUGACUGGGGCGGUCGCCUCCUAAAAAGUAACGGAGGCGCCCAAAGGUUCCCUCAGAACGGUCGGAAAUCGUUCGAAGAGUGCAAAGGCAGAAGGGAGCCUGACUGCGACACCCACAAGUGGAGCAGGGACGAAAGUCGGGCUUAGUGAUCCGGUGGUACCUCGUGGGAGGGCCAUCGCUCAACGGAUAAAAGCUACCUCGGGGAUAACAGGCUGAUCUCCCCCAAGAGUCCACAUCGACGGGGAGGUUUGGCACCUCGAUGUCGGCUCGUCGCAUCCUGGGGCUGAAGUAGGUCCCAAGGGUUGGGCUGUUCGCCCAUUAAAGCGGCACGCGAGCUGGGUUCAGAACGUCGUGAGACAGUUCGGUCCCUAUCCGUCGCGGGCGUAGGAAAUUUGAGAGGAGCUGUCCUUAGUACGAGAGGACCGGGAUGGACUGACCUCUGGUGUACCAGUUGUUCCGCCAGGAGCACAGCUGGGUAGCUAAGUCGGGAAUGGAUAAACGCUGAAAGCAUCUAAGCGUGAAGCCAACCUCAAGAUGAGAUUUCCCAUAGCGUAAGCUAGUAAGAUCCCUUGAAGAACACAAGGUUGAUAGGUCGGGGGUGUAAGCAUGGUAACAUGUUCAGCUGACCGAUACUAAUAGAUCGAGGGCUUGACCAA
Molecule: ribosomal RNA, 1871 nt
Filed under: human gut metagenome
Description: bacterial LSU rRNA
Rfam family: Bacterial large subunit ribosomal RNA
Source: RNAcentral